CAAUAGCGUAUAUUUAAGUUGUUGCAGUUAAAAAGCUCGUAGUUGGAUUUCGGAUGGGACUUGCCGGUCCGUCGUUUCGAUGUGCACUGGCCAGUCCUAUCUUGUUGUCGGGGACUAGCUCCUGGGCUUCACUGUCCGGGACUAGGAGCUGACGAGGUUACUUUGAGUAAAUUAGAGUGUUCAAAGCAAGCCUACGCUCUGAAUACAUUAGCAUGGAAUAACACGACAGGACUCUGGCCUAUCGUGUUGGUCUAUAGGACCAGAGUAAUGAUUAAGAGGGACAGUCGGGGGCAUUCGUAUUCCGUUGUCAGAGGUGAAAUUCUUGGAUUUACGGAAGACGAACAUCUGCGAAAGCAUUUGCCAAGGAUGUUUUCAUUGA
Molecule: ribosomal RNA, 379 nt
Filed under: uncultured eukaryote
Lineage: Eukaryota
Description: partial 18S ribosomal RNA
Rfam family: Eukaryotic small subunit ribosomal RNA
Source: RNAcentral